CUGCACUAUCACCCUGCAGCCCAAAACUGGUUGCCCACUGAAGCUAAGCAGGGUUGAGCUGGUCAGUACCUGGAUGGGAGACCUCCUGGGAAAACUAGGUUGCUGC
This is a ribosomal RNA of Sinocyclocheilus grahami, 106 nucleotides long. Lineage: Eukaryota; Metazoa; Chordata; Actinopteri; Cypriniformes; Cyprinidae. The record is from Ensembl.